AAGCAUUUGUUUCUAGAUCUGAGUAUAUCAAUAUUACCUUGUUCAGAACUUAAAGAGAAAUCUUGAGUUUAUGGACUUCAGGGGGAGUAUGGUCACAAGGCUGAAACUUAAAGGAAUUGACGGAAGGGCACACCAGGAGUGGAGCCUGCGGCUUAAUUUGACUCAACACGGGAAAACUUACCAAGACCGAACAGUAGAAGGAAUGACAGAUUAAGAGUUCUUUCAUGAUUUAUUGGGUAGUGGUGCAUGGCCGUUCUUAGUUGGUGGAGUGAUUUGUCAGGUUAAUUCCGGUAACGAACGAGACUGAAACCUAUUAAUUAGUUUUCUGCCUAUAAGACAGAAAUGUUCGCAAGAACAGGUGCGUAAGUACCACUUCUUAAAGGGACACAUUUCAAUUGUCCUAUUUUAAUUGUAGUUAUCUAA
This 423-nucleotide ribosomal RNA is filed under the name Entamoeba histolytica. RNAcentral's name for it is "SSU rRNA". It matches the Rfam family "Eukaryotic small subunit ribosomal RNA", at positions 1035 to 1441 of the family's 1831-position model. Lineage: Eukaryota; Evosea; Mastigamoebida; Endamoebidae. The record is from RNAcentral.